Long non-coding RNA from Cloeon dipterum, 1525 nucleotides. RefSeq lists it as uncharacterized. Lineage: Eukaryota; Metazoa; Arthropoda; Insecta; Ephemeroptera; Baetidae. The record is from RefSeq and is a predicted model, not a curated record. The transcript is spliced from 3 exons.
GGAGGAGCCUUUUUCCCAAGAGGAAAAGAAGAAUCCUUUUUUGUUGCUGUUGCAUCAGCGAUCUGUUUUCGGGCACCCAGAUGGACGGCUGGAAAGAAAAUUUUUGCUGUGCAGCCUUCAAUAAGGUCUGAUGUAACUACAACUAGAGAUAAAUAAUUUAACAAGGGACGUUCACCGGGCAGCUAGAUCUACUACUUGGCCAGAUUUAACAAGCAGGACAGCACGUCAUGGUACCAAGUGCAUGCUGAGACACAAGGGCACUGCACGACACUACGAGUUGCAGCCGAAGCCAAUACAGAUGUUUCUGCGCGGUCUGCUCGUCUUCCGAACAAGAAUGCAGAAGCGAGGCCAGGAAAGGCCAGAAAGAAAAAGAACGUUCACCAGUUAUGUAAGCCCUUGGUGUUCUAAGCAGCCAGUUGGACAUUGCACAGUAGUAGGACUUGAGUCUCAAGUCAAAGCAUAAUUAAAGCAUUUAAAAAAAACAUGCUGGAGCAAUCCUCUCUCUGGUGGCUUUGAACACCAAGGGCAUCUGCAAAUGGUGAAUUUUCGCUUCCCAAUUUUGUCAAAUUGUUCAGUUCAAAUUUAAGAAAUUUAUAAGGUACACUGUACAGCAGCAGUUUCAGCCUUCCUUCUCAACAUGUAUACUUCACCUCUAAAACACAUUCAAAUAUACGCAUUACCAUAUUGAUUUGGGUAGCCGAAACAGCUGCUGCACUGUACUUGAACAUAAAAUCUUUUUAUAUUUCAUAAAUAUUUUAAUUAUCACUACAAGAUGAAAUAAUCCAGACUUAGUUUCCCACGCUAGAGCCAUUCAGAUUUAAUUAUAUUUAUGAUUACAUCUCAUCAUUGUGUUUUUAAUUUUGUUUUACUGUGAAUUAUUGUUAAAGAAUUCACCAAUUGCGAAAGAUUAAGUGUUUGAAGCUGCAAACGGAUCGCGCCACUGUCUAAAACCGUGUACUUCUGAUAUAAAGUUCUCAAUCCUGCUGCUUAUGCAUUCUGCUCGUAAAAUGAAUUAUUUGUAAGUGUUGAAACUCAAAAUAAGUCCAGCCAAUCAACACAGGAUCGCGAGAAACAUAUUUUGCCAUGAAAAAGUCAUUCCCGGCAAUUCUGUUUGCGGCGAUUGGCUGGGCUGAAUUUUCUUUCAGCAUACAUCCAAAGAAAUCUAAAUAGCAGGAUGCAUAUGAUAGCAGGAAUAAUUCUAAUAAGUGUUUUCAAAUAAAAAUUAACUGUUGGUGCCAUUUAUUUACAGCUUAAAAACUAUUUGUAUGAGACUUUCGCAACUGUUAAAAUUGUAGGGAACAUUUUCAAGCUAAUUACGCUUACUUGGUGUGAUUUGAAGUAUUGUAGCUAUAUACUUCUAUUAAUUUGGCAGAUCUCAAUUGACUAGUUGUAUAAACCCGGUGUUCGAAGCCGUCAACGGAUGGCGCAACCAUAGACUUUCUUAAAACUUUAAUUUUUAAGGCACAUCCGUUGCGAUUUCAGACUCAAUCUAGCUACCGUGCAUUCUUAAUUAAUUAUGCUCACU